RNAcentral lists this ribosomal RNA (253 nucleotides) under uncultured bacterium. Its description in RNAcentral is "partial 16S ribosomal RNA". It matches the Rfam family "Bacterial small subunit ribosomal RNA", at positions 524 to 776 of the family's 1533-position model. The record is from RNAcentral.
UACGGGGGGGGCAAGCGUUGUUCGGAAUUACUGGGCGUAAAGGGCUCGUAGGCGGCCAACUAAGUCGAACGUGAAAUCCCUCAGCUUAACUGGGGAACUGCGUCCGAUACUGAUUGGCUUGAAUCCGGAAGAGGGAUGCGGAAUUCCAGGUGUAGCGGUGAAAUGCGUAGAUAUCUGGAGGAACACCGGUGGCGAAGGCGGCAUCCUGGGUCGGUAUUGACGCUGAGGCGCGAAAGCCAGGGGAGCAAACGGG